UGAGUGGCCUUCAUCAAUGUGAACAGA
RNAcentral lists this non-coding RNA (27 nucleotides) under Rattus norvegicus (Norway rat). Lineage: Eukaryota; Metazoa; Chordata; Mammalia; Rodentia; Muridae. The record is from RNAcentral.